AUUGAACGCUGGCGGCAGGCCUAACACAUGCAAGUCGAACGAGGGGCGGAGGGGUGAGUAAUCUCGGAGAAAGUGCGUGAUGGAGGGGGAUAACUACUGGAAACGGUAGAUAAUCCCGCAAAACAUCGGAUGCCCCCAGAUGGGAUUCGAUAGUAGGUGGGGUAAAGGCUCACCUAGGCGACGAUCCCUAGCUGGUCUGAGAGGAUGAGCAGCCACACUGGAACUGAGACACGGUCCAGACUCCUACGGGAGGCAGCAGUGGGGAAUAUUGCACAAUGGGCGCAAGCCUGAUGCAGCCAUGCCGCGUGUAUGAAGAAGGCCUUCGGGUUGUAAAGUACUUUCAGCGGGGAGGCGUUACCCGCAGAAGAAGCACCGGCUAACUCCGUGCCAGCAGCCGCGGUAAUAC
RNAcentral lists this ribosomal RNA (406 nucleotides) under uncultured bacterium. Its description in RNAcentral is "partial 16S ribosomal RNA". It matches the Rfam family "Bacterial small subunit ribosomal RNA", at positions 29 to 526 of the family's 1533-position model. The record is from RNAcentral.